Molecule: ribosomal RNA, 265 nt
Filed under: uncultured Campylobacter sp.
Lineage: Bacteria; Pseudomonadati; Campylobacterota; Epsilonproteobacteria; Campylobacterales; Campylobacteraceae
Description: partial 16S ribosomal RNA
Rfam family: Bacterial small subunit ribosomal RNA
Source: RNAcentral
UCCUAGCUUGCUAGGAUGGAUUAGUGGCGCACGGGUGAGUAAUAUAUAGUUAAUCUGCCCUACACAGAGGAACAACAGUUGGAAACGGCUGCUAAUACCUCAUACUCCUAUUUGACAUAAGUUAAAUAGGGAAAGUCUUUUCGGUGUAGGAUGAGACUAUAUCGUAUCAGCUAGUUGGUAAGGUAAUGGCUUACCAAGGCUAUGACGCGUAACUGGUCUGAGAGGAUGAUCAGUCACAUUGGAACUGAGACACGGUCCAAACUCC